Non-coding RNA from Onychostoma macrolepis, 492 nucleotides. The record is from the annotation of a RefSeq genome assembly. NCBI's taxonomy places the organism in Eukaryota, Metazoa, Chordata, Actinopteri, Cypriniformes, Cyprinidae.
GAGCUUUUGGGUGGAUCUCACAAAAAUUCACAUCUGUGUGCAGUUUUCAUUCACUGUUUGUGGUGCAGAGAUGAUGCUUCUGUGCUGUCUGCUUGUGUUUUCAAUAACAGAAUAUACAUUUGCACAGUCAAUAAGACCAUUGCAGAACGAAAUUCACGUCACUGAAAAGCAGCCGGUCAUGCUGUCAUGCAAAUAUGAGGGAAGUGCAAACAGUCUGCAUUGGUAUCGACAGUAUCCUGGAUCCAAACCUGAAUUUGUGCUCCUUGUCAUGGAGGCAUCCACAAAACAUGUAACAUAUGCAGAUCCCCGUAUCCCAGGAAUGGAUGGAAAAAUGAGUAUGAAUGAUAAGCAAGUGGAUCUGGAGAUUUCCUCUGCUGAAGUGUCAGACUUUGCGCUGUAUUACUGUGCCCUGGAGCCCACAGUGACAGGAAACACAAGAACACUGUACAAAAACUCAAUGGGAAGUCCUUAUUAUGUAAAAUGUUAAACACC